GACGAACGCUGGCGGCGUGCCUAAUACAUGCAAGUCGAGCGAAGUUUUUCUGGUGCUUGCACCGAAAAACUUAGCGGCGAACGGGUGAGUAACACGUAAAGAACCUGCCUCAUAGACUGGGACAACUAUUGGAAACGAUAGCUAAUACCGGAUAAUAGCAUUAACUGCAUGGUUGAUGUUUAAAAGUUGGUUUUGCUAACACUAUGAGAUGGCUUUGCGGUGCUUUAGCUAGUUGGUGGGGUAAAGGCCUACCAAGGCGACGAUGCAUAGCCGACCUGAGAGGGUGAUCGGCCACACUGGGACUGAGACACGGCCCAGACUCCUACGGGAGGCAGCAGUAGGGAAUCUUCCGCAAUGGGCGAAAGCCUGACGGAGCAACGCCGCGUGAGUGAAGAAGGAUUUCGGUUCGUAAAGCUCUGUUGUUAGGGAAGAAUGAUUGUGUAGUAACUAUACACAGUAGAGACGGUACCUAACCAGAAAGCCACGGCUAACUACGUG
Molecule: ribosomal RNA, 498 nt
Filed under: uncultured bacterium
Lineage: Bacteria
Description: partial 16S ribosomal RNA
Rfam family: Bacterial small subunit ribosomal RNA
Source: RNAcentral